RNAcentral lists this ribosomal RNA (364 nucleotides) under uncultured bacterium. RNAcentral's name for it is "bacterial SSU rRNA". It matches the Rfam family "Bacterial small subunit ribosomal RNA", at positions 28 to 418 of the family's 1533-position model. The record is from RNAcentral.
GAUGAACGCUGGCGGUGUGCCUAAUACAUGCAAGUCGAACGGGAUCUUCGGAUCUAGUGGCGAACGGGUGAGUAACACGUUGGUACCUACCCCUAAGUGGGGAAUAACUGCCCGAAAGGGUGGCUAAUACCGCAUAAUCCCGCAAGGGUAAAGCAGUAAUGCGCUUAGGGAGGGGCCUGCGUCUGAUUAGCUAGUUGGUAGGGUAAUGGCCUACCAAGGCGACGAUCAGUAGCUGGAUCGAGAGGUUGACCAGCCACACUGGGACUGAGAUACGGCCCAGACUCCUACGGGAGGCAGCAGUAAGGAAUCUUCCACAAUGGACGAAAGUCUGAUGGAGCAACACCGCGUGCAGGAUGACGGCCUU